AUACGUAGGGGGCGAGCGUUGUCCGGAAUGAUUGGGCGUAAAGGGCGCGUAGGCGGCCCGGUAAGUCUGGAGUGAAAGUCCUGUUUUUAAGAUGGGAAUUGCUUUGGAUACUGUCGGGCUUGAGUGCAGGAGAGGUAAGUGGAAUUCCCAGUGUAGCGGUGAAAUGCGUAGAGAUUGGGAGGAACACCAGUGGCGAAGGCGACUUACUGGACUGUAACUGACGCUUAGGCGCGAAAGUGUGGGGAGCAAACAGGAUUAGAUGCCCUGGUAGUCCACGCCGUAAACGAUGAAUACUAGGUGUCGGGUUUCUAUAGAGAUUCGGUGCCGCAGCAAACGCAAUAAGUAUUCCACCUGGGGAGUACGUUCGCAAGAAUGAAACUCAAAGGAAUUGACGGGG
Molecule: ribosomal RNA, 397 nt
Filed under: uncultured bacterium
Lineage: Bacteria
Description: partial 16S ribosomal RNA
Rfam family: Bacterial small subunit ribosomal RNA
Source: RNAcentral